UCGCUACUACCGAUUGGGUGAUCCGGUGAAUUAUUUGGACUUGGCGUAUGUCAGUUUUGGCGUAUGUUAAGGAAAUUUUGUGAACCUUAUCACUUAGAGGAAGUAA
Molecule: ribosomal RNA, 106 nt
Filed under: uncultured eukaryote
Lineage: Eukaryota
Description: partial small subunit ribosomal RNA
Rfam family: Eukaryotic small subunit ribosomal RNA
Source: RNAcentral